This 573-nucleotide long non-coding RNA is filed under the name Populus trichocarpa (black cottonwood). RNAcentral's name for it is "long non-coding RNA (PTRI_LNC000349)". The record is from RNAcentral. Lineage: Eukaryota; Viridiplantae; Streptophyta; Magnoliopsida; Malpighiales; Salicaceae.
UUUAGGGUUGACUUUUCACUUGAACCUCUUGGCUUCGGGCUCCUGUCAAUGGUUAGUUGGAAAACAUUUGGUCCAGCCAGAUGGAGACACGUAUUGACCUUUCAAUCACAUAGAAGAAAAUCCCAGCACGGCUAUUCGAUAGCUCAAGUGCAAGUGUAAGAAUAUCUACACACACACAUACACGCGCGCGCGCACGUGUGUGAACCGUUCAUACGACGCGAGAGAAAAAAUCAUUUACAAGUGCUCUCAAGAGACGAAUGGUGAGUUAAGCAGCGGACUCUUAUCUUCAACCCAUAAAUACACCGCUACUUCUACGUUACAACGAUCCCUCUAUCCCCAUUUCCCAUAAAGAUGUUGUCAACUGGCAGAGAAAUCUGUCGAGCUUUUAACAGAGGCAGAGAAAUCUGUCGAGCUUUUAACAGAGGCAGAGAAAUCUGUCGAGCUUUUAACAGAGUAUCUCUCCUUCCUCUCCAUCUUCAUCCAGAAACUCCUCAUCCACGUCUUCAAUGUCAUCUUUUAUAAACAAUCCCAACCGCUCAAGUGGGCUACCAAUGCAAGCUCCGAUUUCUCCCU